AAAAGAAGGGCCAUGAAACUGAUUAAAUAACUGAGAUAAUGCUUGACAAUACUGUUUACCCCGUCAAGCAAGAGCAGAAUAGGAAAAGGUCAUCCCAUGGUACUUCAUGGCCAAGGUAAAGAAAAGAAUUUGUCCGAAAAGGAGCCUCUCCAUAAGAGAAAGUAGGGGCAUUAUGGAAAAUUCACUCUAUCUAAUUAAUAAAAGUCCCAUCCCACCAUCUCCC
This 223-nucleotide long non-coding RNA is filed under the name Phoenix dactylifera (date palm). RNAcentral describes it as "long non-coding RNA (PDAC_LNC008148)". The record is from RNAcentral. Lineage: Eukaryota; Viridiplantae; Streptophyta; Magnoliopsida; Arecales; Arecaceae.